GCUAGCGAAAGUCCUCACCCUCUGAAAGGCGAACGCCGCUCGGCUGAACCCAGGCGACUCCCAAAUCUCCACCAGCUUACCCACCCCCACGGCGAUGAACCUGCCGUCGGGGCUGAACUUCAAGGCGCCGACUUUCCCCUUGAAGGUCAUCCGGUGGAGCACCGCGCGGCGAGGGACGUUGAUGAAGAGGCACCGGCUGUUCUCGUCGACGGCCAUCAGGAAAGUGCCGUCGGGGGAGGCGGCGAGGCGGCAUAUGUUGGUGGAGGUGCUGAGCUCGAGGGUGACGGUGUGGUGCUUGGUGAGGUCGGUGACGGAGACGCGGUUGCCGACGGGGGAGAUGAGCUGGGUGUUUUGGGUGACGACGGCGUUUCCGCCUCUGUAGGGGGCGCCGAGAAGGUUUUGGAAUCGGUAAUUCAUGGCUUGAGGAUCGGUGACGAAGUCUGGAGAGAGGAAGGAUGGAAAUGCCGGCGGCGACGUUAGGGUUUAAGGUGCGAGUGUUUCGAUCUAUCUCUCGGACGCAGAACCCUUCUUCUCGAUUAUUUUCUAAUUUAUACUGGUUUAAUUACCGGUACAAAAGAAAAAGAAAAAGAAAAAGAAUUAAAAAAGGGAAGGACCAAGUUUCGGGGAUUUGAACCCGACGUGAAUCGAACACGCAACCUUCUGAUCUGGAGUCAGACGCGCUACCAUUGCGCCACGGAUCCUUGGUGCUAGAUAACUCAUCUACAUUGUUUAUAUCUAUUACAGAAUCAGUGUUCAUACGUUGAAGGAUGAAGAAGCUGGAACAUGCGUUGUUCGAAAGUGAAUUCGUACAUUUUAUGAAAGUGUUUUAAAAUAAUUCGCAUUGUAGAAGAGUAGAAGACAAGGAGAACGUAAUUGAUACACGUUCGUAACAUUUUAUGUAUUACUACUGCUAAGAAGGGCAUAUGGAGGUUUAAGAAGAAGGAAUAAAGCCACAUGUCAUCUAUGUUUUUGAUCUACAAACAAAUACUAUGUGGUCAAAUAACUGGAAAAAUGGUAUAUUCAUUGUUUUUUGGUUAUUACAUCACUGACUGUCUCGUAGUACUCGUGUUUCAUCCUCCGCUUGCACUUUUUCCUUGGGAUAAAUCUGCAUAAGGUUAUCAACAAUGUAACAUAAGUGUCAUGAAAUGUUAAAAUUCAACUCAAGGAUGGAUCUCUAUAAAAGAAAUAAACCUGGUUGCCUUUGUCUUCAUUAAGACUAAGCGUACGGACUUUAAGCUCCCCUCUUCUCGUCGUUAACUCGUCAAAAAUCUCAGCAUCAUUCUCUGGGACGCCUUUCGUUGUAUCAGUUGCCUAGAUCACCAAAGGUUGUUAGUUAACUCAUGCAUUAGUUCCACAAACUUAGAUAUUAAUAAACGUCAUACAUGACAAAGACAAGAGGUAUAUAUAUAUACCCGGAAAGACAAUUCAAGCGGGUCCCUAGGAGUGCCGGGGAUCUCCUCGUACUCGGCCGCAUCGAGUUCUCGGAGAUGAGACGGGUUAAAGAGCUUAGGGAGAAUGUACUGUCUGAUGGCUAUCAAUAGAAAGAAAGGAACCGGAAACAUUAUUCCCGCCACAGGAAUCCACGUGACUCCGUAACAAAUCCCAAAGUAGACUAUCUGCAAGAUUGUGAACGCAGCCAUCGACUUGUAAGGAACCUUCUCCACGAACGACGCGUGUGCUCCCUCCAAGACCCUGUAAAAUAAUCACAUGAUCAUCAGUCACAUGUCUUUGCUUGAAUAACAAGAAAGGGUGUUUUGAGAGUGCAUAUACUUGAAUCUCCGGCUUGGUAGGACGAAGAGAAGCAUCAUGCGCUCGAAGAAUUACUAUUAACCUUAUUAGUCAUCUUAUCAACACCAAAGAAGCAACCCACAACGGAAUCUCUAUGACCAAGAAACAAAUAAGGCUUAUUCAAGACCCCCUUCAACUUCCUAACGCAAAACAGCCUCGCCGCCAAAUCCUUAGUCCCGACAAGCAAAUACUCAGAGUCCAAGCUCCACUCCAAGGAGACAACUUUAUCAUCGGAGCUAGCGAAAGUCCUCACCCUCUGAAAGGCGAACGCCGCUCGGCUGAACCCAGGCGACUCCCAAAUCUCCACCAGCUUACCCACCCCCACGGCGAUGAACCUGCCGUCGGGGCUGAACUUCAAGGCGCCGACUUUCCCCUUGAAGGUCAUCCGGUGGAGCACCGCGCGGCGAGGGACGUUGAUGAAGAGGCACCGGCUGUUCUCGUCGACGGCCAUCAGGAAAGUGCCGUCGGGGGAGGCGGCGAGGCGGCAUAUGUUGGUGGAGGUGCUGAGCUCGAGGGUGACGGUGUGGUGCUUGGUGAGGUCGGUGACGGAGACGCGGUUGCCGACGGGGGAGAUGAGCUGGGUGUUUUGGGUGACGACGGCGUUUCCGCCUCUGUAGGGGGCGCCGAGAAGGUUUUGGAAUCGGUAAUUCAUGGCUUGAGGAUCGGUGACGAAGUCUGGAGAGAGGAAGGAUGGAAAUGCCGGCGGCGACGUUAGGGUUUAAGGUGCGAGUGUUUCGAUCUAUCUCUCGGACGCAGAACCCUUCUUCUCGAUUAUUUUCUAAUUUAUACUGGUUUAAUUACCGGUACAAAAGAAAAAGAAAAAGAAAAAGAAUUAAAAA
Molecule: long non-coding RNA, 2627 nt
Filed under: Brassica napus (rape)
Lineage: Eukaryota; Viridiplantae; Streptophyta; Magnoliopsida; Brassicales; Brassicaceae
Description: long non-coding RNA (BNAP_LNC004948)
Source: RNAcentral